RNAcentral lists this ribosomal RNA (119 nucleotides) under Pteropus alecto (black flying fox). Lineage: Eukaryota; Metazoa; Chordata; Mammalia; Chiroptera; Pteropodidae. The record is from RNAcentral.
GUCUAUGGCCAUGCCACCCUGAACGGGCCCGAUCUCGUCUGAUCUCGGAAGCUAAGCAGGGUCGGGCUUGGUUAGUACUUGGAUGGGAGACCUCCUAGGAAGACCAGGUACUGUUGGCG